GCGCCGGGCACCACCCGGCAAGGAUCCGGUCCCCCUCCUGAAACGGGUGUCGCAGGUUCGGAUCCUGCCGGGGCACCA
This 78-nucleotide transfer RNA is filed under the name Streptomyces griseomycini. Its description in RNAcentral is "tRNA-Gln". The record is from RNAcentral. Lineage: Bacteria; Bacillati; Actinomycetota; Actinomycetes; Kitasatosporales; Streptomycetaceae.